Molecule: ribosomal RNA, 230 nt
Filed under: uncultured bacterium
Lineage: Bacteria
Description: partial 16S ribosomal RNA
Rfam family: Bacterial small subunit ribosomal RNA
Source: RNAcentral
CGGGACGGGUGAGUAAUGUCUGGGAAACUGCCUGAUGGAGGGGGAUAACUACUGGAAACGGUAGCUAAUACCGCAUAACGUCGCAAGACCAAGAGGGGGACCUCGGGCCUCUUGCCAUCGGAUGUGCCCAGAUGGGAUUAGCUAGUAGGUGGGGUAACGGCUCACCUAGGCGACGAUCCCUAGCUGGUCUGAGAGGAUGCCAGCCACACUGGAACUGAGACACGGUCCAG